This 564-nucleotide long non-coding RNA is filed under the name Capsicum annuum. RNAcentral describes it as "long non-coding RNA (CANN_LNC014303)". The record is from RNAcentral. Lineage: Eukaryota; Viridiplantae; Streptophyta; Magnoliopsida; Solanales; Solanaceae.
UUCUUCUCUAUAUUCAGAUGGUGAGAUUUUUCUUAUUUUUUUUCUUGGUGCGAUUUUUCUUCUUCAAUUAUUUGCAAAGCUUUCUUGGUGCAAUUUGUCUUCUUCAACUAUUUGGAAAGCUUUCUUCUUCAAUUUCUCAAUAUCUAUCUGGUGCAAUUUUUAUGUAUUCCACUUUUUAGUUUGUGGGUCAAAUUGUUGUCCAAGAAAACAUUAUUAGAUAGUUCAAAGUGGGAACAAAAAAAAUUGUAUUUUGAUGAAGAAUACAUGUAUUCGAAUUGUAUCUUCUAUGUUUCAAUUUAUCUGCAAAGAACAAGGAGGCUGGCCUGAAAAUCCAACUUUGCAACUUUUUCGUGGUGAUUUGAUUAUCUAUAAGAAGUAUUUCAGUUGAAGUGUUGUACAAGAAUAUUAUUAUAUCUAUAAGAUUCGAGUUGAUUGCAAACAUAUACAUAUGUCAAAUACAUAUUUCAAUACAUUAGAUAUGUUUUAUCAUUUUAUAUUUGUUUAUAUUACCCAUCUACUUUAUGUAUCUCUCGUUUAAUAACUUCGGCGUAACAUAUAUAAGAG